GCAUCGUCAUUGCUUCUGUUUGUACGUUGGUCACGAUUCUUCAUUUCUGUUGAUGAUCCAUCAUGGUCCGCUCAAUGUACAGUAAAUCACCAUAAAAAGGGAAACAAUUCUGUUAAGAAGCGCAACGAUAGGACUUGCAUGCAAAUGGUUUGAACGCUAAAUUUGACUUAAGUUGUAAAUAAACGAUACGACUUGCAUGCAAAUGCGAGAAUGAGAGUGAUUAUAGUACACAUAUGAAAUGCGGUGGCAUACCUAAUGAGUAAUGCAUAAACAAUAAAUAGCAUUCUCUUAAUUGUGUAGAACAUAAAUAACAG
Paramuricea clavata is the source of this 314-nucleotide non-coding RNA. The record is from the annotation of a GenBank genome assembly. NCBI's taxonomy places the organism in Eukaryota, Metazoa, Cnidaria, Anthozoa, Malacalcyonacea, Plexauridae.